Microtus oregoni (creeping vole) is the source of this 629-nucleotide long non-coding RNA. RefSeq lists it as uncharacterized. Lineage: Eukaryota; Metazoa; Chordata; Mammalia; Rodentia; Cricetidae. The record is from RefSeq and is a predicted model, not a curated record. The transcript is spliced from 4 exons.
UGAAAGCCGGAACUGUCAAUCACCUCCAGGUCUUUGUCAUUUAGUUUCUCUUCCCUCCUUCCAGUGGAACUAAGGAAGAGACGUGCCACUGGACUCGCGGGAAUUCCUUUUUAGUGCCCUCUUCCAGAAGCCUUUCCCUCCAAGAGGCACCUAAGUAGAACCAGCACUGAGACAAUGAUCAAUCAGACUGCAUUUGACCAGCAUCGAAAACAGGCUAAUACAAACUGGUGAAGACUUCCAGACAUGAAGGCGUUACAGUGCAGCUGCAGACACAGCUCAUGCCACCACUUUGUAAGGAAACCCCAGGAAGCUACAACCAAGAGGAGAAAGGACACUGCAGAAGUGUCUUCAAGUAUUGCCCUUUUUGCUUGUAUGAAAAACGAGGACCAUCACACCUACCCUCAGAAGCUAUGGAUCAAAGCAGACAGAUCUUUGAAAUUAUUCUGAAAAUUGUUCUUAAAUGGGAGUGAUUAUUGUUAUGAAGAAGGGAUGCCUAAGGCAAGAAGCUUUCCCGCCACCACAAGGAAUCCUGGUUUGAGUCUGGAGGAGGCAAAAGUUCAUAGUGGAACUUCACAGCAUGGCAGAAGCUGCCCAAAUCUGAUGGUUGUCCCACAAGAUCAAGAUGUAGA